This 484-nucleotide ribosomal RNA is filed under the name uncultured bacterium. Its description in RNAcentral is "partial 16S ribosomal RNA". It matches the Rfam family "Bacterial small subunit ribosomal RNA", at positions 30 to 507 of the family's 1533-position model. The record is from RNAcentral.
AUUGAACGCUGGCGGCAGGCCUAACACAUGCAAGUCGAGCGGAUGAAGGGAGCUUGCUCCUGGAUUCAGCGGCGGACGGGUGAGUAAUGCCUAGGAAUCUGCCUGGUAGUGGGGGAUAACGUCCGGAAACGGGCGCUAAUACCGCAUACGUCCUGAGGGAGAAAGUGGGGGAUCUUCGGACCUCACGCUAUCAGAUGAGCCUAGGUCGGAUUAGCUAGUUGGUGGGGUAAAGGCCUACCAAGGCGACGAUCCGUAACUGGUCUGAGAGGAUGAUCAGUCACACUGGAACUGAGACACGGUCCAGACUCCUACGGGAGGCAGCAGUGGGGAAUAUUGGACAAUGGGCGAGAGCCUGAUCCAGCCAUGCCGCGUGUGUGAAGAAGGUCUUCGGAUUGUAAAGCACUUUAAGUUGGGGGGAAGGGCAGUAAGUUAAUACCUUGCUGUUUUGACGUUACCAACAGAAUAAGCACCGGCUAACUUCGUG